GCUCCUCACUCUUAGCAUCACAUUUUUCCGCCGUCCUCUCCUGAGUCAUUGUGUUGCACCGGUCGUCUUCCUGUGAGGUUUUCAGCGGUUUUCUGACUCCUGUCAGGUCCCUGUGGUGAACAUAUUCGACGACAUUUGAGAUGACGGAAGUGGCUUCAAGCCGCCCUGAGAUGACAGCGCUGGCCCCUCCUCCCGCACUGCUCAACACCAGUAGGAACUCAUCUCCUUCUCGAUCGCCGUCCACUCACAGCAGCCCCUCAGCCUCCCGGCGGCAUUUAGCAAAAGAGCGAGGGGAGGAUAGAGAGAAGACACAAGGUAUGAGUAACUCUCCAGCUGGUGGAACUCAGUGUGGUGUGUCCUGUUCAUCUGUCACUGGCACACACACACACACACACACACACACACAGACACACAGACACACAGACACAGCGCUUUGUGGUCGAGGAAGUGUUCAGAUCCUUUGAGUAUAUGUUUUAUUUAUAACUUCUUCAGAAAGAAAAGAGACAAGGUGAACAAACAGGAACAUUACACGCCUCGCUCGUCCUUCCUGUCACAUUUUAAAGUAUAUUAGAUCAAAUGUUGAAGUGAAAAUGCAUUGAGUCGUCAUGUGGGUCUCUUCAGUGCUGCGAUUUAGUCAAUCAUGGGUUGCUAUAUCUGUUAAAACCUACAUCUUAUGUCAAAGAUGUCUACUGCGCACGCUAACCAGCUAGCUCCAGACCGUCCUGUGUCGAAUACCAGUUUGUAUCACAAGAGGUGAUAGUCUGAUAGUGAGCUUAAUCACCUAACUCAUCGUAAAACCCACUUCAUUCAAGCUCGAUAGAAAAAAUAAAAACUCACCAAAACACGGAGUAGUUCACGGAGUAAGGUGUGAAAAUAUUAGGAUAAGGAUUGUAGCGGUUGUCGGUCACUGCCACCUAUUCGUUUGGAUCCACCUUCGAAAUUCUGUCAAUGUUUUAUGAACUAUACCUUUAAAUCUGUCUUCUCAGGGUCCUAGAAUCAUUUUGUUUUCAGGGUUUUUUAUAUUUGAUAACCAACAGUAGAGAGUUGACAGGAAAUGAAAAUAGAGAGAGACGUUCAAUUAUUAAACAAAAGCCUUCGACUCGAGGUCGACAUUUUCAUCUUGACUCUGCAGCAGCACUCGCAGCUCACUGUGUGUCAGCUGGUUUGUGCUAAUUUAAUUGAAAAUUUGCUUGCGAAAAUGCACCACUGAGUCACGAUACUGAUGUGAAGAAUGCCUGAGGCAGGGCCUGCUUUAACAUGCAACCUCAGGACCCUGACAUGAAGGGUCCCUGUGUCAGAAUCUGUUAUUAAGACCUUUAUUACUUCAGCUUUGUCACACACCCACUAAUUUUUGCUUCGGGGCUCCUAAAAGGUUAUUCUAGCCAUGUGGUGAAGUAACAAGUACAGUAUUUCCCUCUGAAAUGAAGUGGAGAAGAAGUCUAAAAUCUCCCAUAAAAGACAGAAAAUACUUUAAUCCCU
This 1479-nucleotide long non-coding RNA is filed under the name Sparus aurata (gilthead seabream). RNAcentral describes it as "lncRNA (ENSSAUG00010018378.1)". The record is from RNAcentral. Lineage: Eukaryota; Metazoa; Chordata; Actinopteri; Spariformes; Sparidae.